AUAAUUAAGAGGCAAGUAUAAUAGGGAAAAAAUUGAAGUGCAGAUAAUUACAUGGAGAGAAUUUCUACUUAGGUAGAUUUGGAAUUUCUUAGAAAUAAAGUUACUGAAACUCUUGGCUUGAAAAACAAUCAUGUACUAAGAAGGAAUUAUAGUUUUAAUUUUGUUUAGUUUACAGAAAAGCGAAGAGAACUGAAGUUUGAUGGUCGUUUAGAUAAAGAACUUUCAGAAUCUUACGCAUUUCUGAUGGUUGAUCGAUACCAGGUUCAAAGCAUAUGUGAAAAAGGAUUACAAGUGGGCCAGUCCAAAAUAACAAUUCUUGGCAGUCCUUCCAUGGGUAAUUUUUUUUCUUUUUUCAUUUAUGUACUAUUUAGUUGACAUUUA
Molecule: non-coding RNA, 381 nt
Organism: Manis javanica (Malayan pangolin)
Lineage: Eukaryota; Metazoa; Chordata; Mammalia; Pholidota; Manidae
Source: RefSeq, a predicted model, not a curated record